This is a non-coding RNA of Homo sapiens (human), 148 nucleotides long. It matches the Rfam family "Metazoan signal recognition particle RNA". Rfam says of the family: The signal recognition particle (SRP) is a universally conserved ribonucleoprotein. It is involved in the co-translational targeting of proteins to membranes. The eukaryotic SRP consists of a 300-nucleotide 7S RNA and six proteins: SRPs 72, 68, 54, 19, 14, and 9. The record is from Rfam. Lineage: Eukaryota; Metazoa; Chordata; Mammalia; Primates; Hominidae.
GCCGGGUAUGGUGGUGCAUGCCUGUGUUCCCAGCUACUCAGGAGGCUGAGGCAGAAGAAUUGCUUGAACCCAAGAGGCUGAGGUUGCAGUGAGCCGAGAUUGUGCCACUGUACUCCAGCCUGGGUGACAGAGUGAGACUCUGUCUCAA